Non-coding RNA from Cricetulus griseus (Chinese hamster), 943 nucleotides. The record is from RefSeq and is a predicted model, not a curated record. Lineage: Eukaryota; Metazoa; Chordata; Mammalia; Rodentia; Cricetidae.
GCAUGACCAGCGUAAAAGCCCCUCCCAAAAUGAUUGACACCAAAGGAGGCUUCAUUUUAGAAGAGGAGGAAGAAGAGGAACACAAGAUUGCAAAUGUAGUUCAUGAGCCAGGGCCCGUCAUGGAGUUUGAUUAUGCGAUUUGUGAAGAAUGUGGGAAAGAAUUCAUGGACUCAUAUCUUAUGAACCACUUUGAUUUGCCAACAUGUGAUAGCUGCAGAGAUGCUGAUGACAAACACAAGCUGAUAACCAAAACAGAAGCCAAGCAGGAAUACCUUCUGAAAGACUGCGAUUUAGAGAAGAGAGAGCCUGCGCUUAGGUUUAUCGUGAAGAAGAACCCUCGUCACUCACAGUGGGGCGAUAUGAAGCUCUACUUAAAGUUACAGGUUGUGAAGCGGGCUCUGGAAGUUUGGGGUAGCCAGGACGCGCUGGAAGACGCGAAGGAAGUGAGGCAGGAAAACCGAGAGAAAAUGAAGCAGAAGAAGUUUGAUAAAAAAGUAAAAGGUUUGCACCAUCCCUCCUUACAGCAGUGCAGCAGCCUAAUACAAGAUAAAGCAAUGAAGAGGUGCAUUAAGCAAGGGGUGUGGAAGGAGGCUUCCAGUGCUUGGUGGAUCUUUCCCUGUCCUGACCAGGCCACAGAGGGCUGAGUGGAGUAGACUGUAGAGUAGAAACAAGGAGCUGAUUGCAGUUUGCUCAGAACAGAGAGGAAGCAAAGCAAUUCUAAAGGCUUUUUAGUUGGAAAGAAAUUGGAACAUGGUUCCUCUUGAUGCACAGCGAAGCUGACAUAAAGCUUUCUUCUUUAUGGGAAGGAGAGGCAGUCUUUGGGCAUCAGCUGUCUACUGCCAACAGGACCAGGAGGCUGCAGCAUGGCAAGCCACACACCAUUUGGUGCUCCAGCCUCGCACAGGCCCCAGUUUGUAGCAUAUGCACCCUGGGUCCUUUCCCA